RNAcentral lists this ribosomal RNA (443 nucleotides) under uncultured bacterium. Its description in RNAcentral is "partial 16S ribosomal RNA". It matches the Rfam family "Bacterial small subunit ribosomal RNA", at positions 338 to 795 of the family's 1533-position model. The record is from RNAcentral.
CCUACGGGAGGCAGCAGUGGGGAAUAUUGGGCAAUGGAGGCAACUCUGACCCAGCAACGCCGCGUGAAUGUUGAAGGUCUACGGAUUGUAAAGUUCUUUUCUAAGGGAAGAAGGAAGUGACGGUACCUUAGGAAUAAGCUUCGGCUAACUACGUGCCAGCAGCCGCGGUAAUACGUAGGAGGCAAGCGUUAUCCGGAAGGACUGGGCGUAAAGGGUGCGUAGGUGGUUUGACAAGUUGGUAGUGAAAUUCCGGAGCUCAACUUCGGAACUACUACCAAAACUGGUGGACUCGAGUGGAGGGGAGGCAACUGGAAUGUCUAGUGUAGCGGUGGAAUGCGUAGAUAUUAGGAAGAACACCGAUGGCGAAGGCGGGUUGCUAAACUAUAACUGACACUGAGGCACGAAAGCGUGGGGAGCAAACAGGAGUAGAUACCCUUGUAGUC